GCUCCGGUAGCUCAGUCGGUAGAGCGCACGGCUGUUAACCGUGCGGUCACAGGUUCGAGUCCUGUCCGGGGCG
This 73-nucleotide transfer RNA is filed under the name Nanobdellota archaeon. RNAcentral describes it as "tRNA-Asn". It matches the Rfam family "tRNA". From Rfam's summary of the family: Transfer RNA (tRNA) molecules are approximately 80 nucleotides in length. RNAcentral also lists the same sequence under 1 other name. Lineage: Archaea; Nanobdellati; Nanobdellota. The record is from RNAcentral.